This 498-nucleotide ribosomal RNA is filed under the name uncultured bacterium. Its description in RNAcentral is "bacterial SSU rRNA". It matches the Rfam family "Bacterial small subunit ribosomal RNA", at positions 928 to 1421 of the family's 1533-position model. The record is from RNAcentral.
AGCGGUGGAACAUGUGGUUUAAUUCGAUGCAACGCGAAGAACCUUACCUGGGCUUGACAUCUAGAGAAUCCUGUGGAAACACGGGAGUGCCUUCGGGAACUCUAAGACAGGUGGUGCACGGUUGUCGUCAGCUCGUGUCGUGAGAUGUUGGGUUAAGUCCCGCAACGAGCGCAACCCUUGUUGUCUGUUGCUACAGGCUGUAAAGUGCUGAGCACUCAGGCGAGACUGCCGGUGACAAACCGGAGGAAGGUGGGGAUGACGUCAAAUCAUCAUGCCCCUUAUGUCCAGGGCUACACACGUGUUACAAUGGGAUGGACAACGGGCAGCCAGCCAGCGAUGGUGAGCUAAUCCCUUAAACCAUUCCUUAGUUCGGAUUGGAGUCUGCAACUCGACUCCAUGAAGUCGGAAUCGCUAGUAAACGCGGAUCAGCAUGCCGCGUUGAAUACGUUCCCGGGCCUUGUACACACCGCCCGUCACACCACGAAAGAGGAUCACGCC